GAGUGGCGGACGGGUGAGUAACACGUGGGUAACCUGCCCUUAAGUGGGGGAUAACAUUUGGAAACAGAUGCUAAUACCGCAUAGAUCCAAGAACCGCAUGGUUCUUGGCUGAAAGAUGGCGUAAGCUAUCGCUUUUGGAUGGACCCGCGGCGUAUUAGCUAGUUGGUGAGGUAAUGGCUCACCAAGGCGAUGAUACGUAGCCGAACUGAGAGGUUGAUCGGCCACAUUGGGACUGAGACACGGCCCAAACUCCUACGGGAGGCAGCAGUAGGGAAUCUUCCACAAUGGACGCAAGUCUGAUGGAGCAACGCCGCGUGAGUGAAGAAGGCUUUCGGGUCGUAAAACUCUGUUGUUGGAGAAGAAUGGUCGGCAGAGUAACUGUUGUCGGCGUGACGGUAUCCAACCAGAAAGCCACGGCUAACUACGUGCCAGCAGCCGCGGUAAUACGUAGGUGGCAAGCGUUAUCCGGAUUUAUUGGGCGUAAAGCGAGCGCAGGCGGUUUUUUAAGUCUGAUGUGAAAGCCCUCGGCUUAACCGAGGAAGCGCAUCGGAAACUGGGAAACUUGAGUGCAGAAGAGGACAGUGGAACUCCAUGUGUAGCGGUGAAAUGCGUAGAUAUAUGGAAGAACACCAGUGGCGAAGGCGGCUGUCUGGUCUGUAACUGACGCUGAGGCUCGAAAGC
RNAcentral lists this ribosomal RNA (681 nucleotides) under Lactobacillus casei group sp. RNAcentral describes it as "bacterial SSU rRNA". It matches the Rfam family "Bacterial small subunit ribosomal RNA", at positions 93 to 760 of the family's 1533-position model. Lineage: Bacteria; Bacillati; Bacillota; Bacilli; Lactobacillales; Lactobacillaceae. The record is from RNAcentral.